UAGGGAAUCUUCCACAAUGGGCGAAAGCCUGAUGGAGCAACGCCGCGUGUGUGAUGAAGGGUUUCGGCUCGUAAAACACUGUUGUAAGAGAAGAAUGACAUUGAGAGUAACUGUUCAAUGUGUGACGGUAUCUACCAGAAAGGAACGGCUAAAUACGUGCCAG
This 163-nucleotide ribosomal RNA is filed under the name uncultured bacterium. RNAcentral's name for it is "partial 16S rRNA". It matches the Rfam family "Bacterial small subunit ribosomal RNA", at positions 355 to 511 of the family's 1533-position model. The record is from RNAcentral.